This 1775-nucleotide long non-coding RNA is filed under the name Volvox carteri. RNAcentral describes it as "long non-coding RNA (VCAR_LNC001286)". The record is from RNAcentral. Lineage: Eukaryota; Viridiplantae; Chlorophyta; Chlorophyceae; Chlamydomonadales; Volvocaceae.
UCAGACAACAGAUACCAACUAAGCUUUAUUAAGACAGGUUACAGAAAAUAGACGACUAGAAAGACUAGAGAAAGUCGAGGUCCAAAUCGCUUGACGAGUGAUGUUAGAUUGCCUUUAUCUUUGGUUUUGCCUACAAUAGGACGCCGUCUCUUAUAUAUGAGAAGACAACAACAACGGCGACGCGCAGAUCGACAUUGCGGGCCGACGGCAUCCAUGCAAGUAAGUGAAGCGCGCGGGCACCGCGCGGGUGGUUGGGUUGGUUAGGCCUUGAGUAGAGGCACCUGAAUAGUGGGUUCUGUUGCUUGUCGGUGGGCGGGGUGAAUUCUAGUUGGGUUCGCGAGGUCCGUAGGUCAGUAGGAAAGGUGGUUUUAUCUCGGCCUCCCGCAGUUGGCGAGGCUUUAGCUGGGAUUCAGUUUUGCCGGGAGUAGCUCUUGGUUGGCAAGAUGUUGCGAGGGGCUUGAUCGGCGCCCUUUGUCUUGAGUUCGCCUGAUUUACUCUGGUAUCCUCGCGAGUCGCCAGAUAGCCCGGUGCAGGCUACUUACCAACCUAACAGCUACCCUACGUGCGAAGGCGUAAAGAAGAACGAGCAAAACAGGCAUACAGGAUGGCGUCAAGAAUUCUGCAAGCAAACGAAAGUUGAAGCCAAGAUGCGUGGACGGACCCGGAGUCUUCGGACGUGUGGACGGGCUACAGCUACAUCAUAAAGCCGCCGUGGCGGUCCACUAAGUGCGGCACAGAAUGCAUGACAAGCGGCUGCGGAAGGCAGUGCGCUUAGGAAGCCCGCCGCGGCGGCACGCCGAACUGAAGGGCUGGAUGUAGGAGCAUGUAGACAGUGGCCACGGAAGGCGGUGCACUUCUAGAAAAGCCGCUGUGGCGGUCCGCUAAGUGCGGCACAAAUGCAGGACAAGCGGCUGCGGAAGGCAGUGCGCUUAGGAAGCCCGCCGCGGCGGCACACCGAAUCGAAGGUGUUGAUUUAGGAGCAUAUAGACAGCAGCCACGGAAGGCGGUGCGCUCAUAGAAAAGCCGCUGCGGUGGUCCGCUAAGUGCAGCACAAAUGCAUGACAAGUGGCUGCGGAAGGCAGUGCGCUUAGGAAGCCCGCCGCGGCGGCACACCAAAUUGAAGGCAUUGAUUUAGGAGCAUAUAGACAGUGGCUGCAGAAGGCGGUGUGCUGGUAGAAAAGCCGCUGCGGCCGUCCACUAAGUGCGGCACAAAAUGCAUGACAAGCGGCUGCGGAAGGCAGUGCGCUUAGGGAGCCCACCGUGGCGGCAAGCCGAACUGAAGGUGUUGAUUUAGGAGCAUAUAGAAGGUGACAGCGGAGGGCGAUACACUUGUAGAAACGCUGCUGCAGUGGUCCGAUAGUGCGGCACCAAUUGCAUGAUAAGAGGCUGCAGAAGGCAGCGCACUUAGGAAGCCCGCCGAGGCGGCACACCGAACUGACGGCUUUGUGAUUUAAGAGUGUGUAGACGGCGACCACGGAAGGCGGCCCGCUUGUCGAAAAGCUGCUGCGGCAGUCCUCGGAGUGCGGCACAAAAUGCAUGACAAGCGACUGCGGAAAGCAGCACGAUUAAGAAGCCCGCCGCGGCGGCACGCUGAACUGAAGGCGUUGUGACCUAGGAGGAUAUAGAUAGCGACCGUGGAAGGCGGUGCGCUUGUAGGAAACUGCUGUGGUGAUCCGCAAAGCGUGGCACAAAAUGCAUGAUGAGCGGCAGUGAAAGGCAACGUGAUUAGGAAGCCUGCCAUGGCGGCACGCCAAACCGAAGGUGUUUGGUAUGGG